GCGGACGAAACUCACGCUGGGCUCAACCAAUCAGAGAGCCUAAACAAACCAACUUGAAUACCCACAAUUCCGUGCAGUUAUGGUGGUGCAUUAUAUGCAAAUUGUAUAAACACGAAAACGACAUUUGCUGCUGCUGGGUGCUUGUCAUCCAGCAAGCAAGGCAUCAAAUUCUUCAGCUUUCCAAGGGAACCAGCAAGUGUGGUGCUGUGGUGAAUACCUGACAACAGCUGUUUGAUGAUCACCUUGUGAACACAUUUGAAGCUAUUCGUUCGUAGUAUGGUUUGAACAAUAAUCCAACUGUGGGACAGUUUGUAGAUGCCCUGAAGACUAACAUCAUCAGUGCACUUGCUAUCAGAGGUCUGUGUGGAACUAGUUGUCAGAAGAUGAUCAGAGUUCAUUCUGCCCUGUAUCUGAAAAUAAUUAUAUUUCAGUCAAGAACUGUGUGGGAAAUUCUUCUCUGACUGAGAUGGCUCUUGUUUAUGUGUGUGGGUAAGAGUGAAGUGACAUUACUUUAUAAUUGACUUGCAAUCUUCAGGUUACCUGAUUCAGCGUGAAACACCGAGGAGCAGAAUCAAUGUCAGGUUAUAUUUUGUAAUUAAAUUUAUUAACUACUUCCUAGGUAGGAAGUUUUACUUA
Cryptotermes secundus is the source of this 636-nucleotide long non-coding RNA. RefSeq lists it as uncharacterized. Lineage: Eukaryota; Metazoa; Arthropoda; Insecta; Blattodea; Kalotermitidae. The transcript is spliced from 3 exons. The record is from RefSeq and is a predicted model, not a curated record.